ACGGAGAUUUUAUUUCCAGAUUCUGAACGGAUGCUAGAGAUAGACGACUUGUAUUUAGUUGCAGAAAAAAUUUCCGGCUCGUGGAGGAAGUUGGCUCGUUUUCUCCCACCGAAAAAUGUAUUCACCGAAGCACAAUUGUCAACACUGCAGACUGAUAAUAAUGGUGAUCUAGAGGAAACAAUUAUUCAGAUGCUGCAGUUGUGGAAGGAACAAUAUCCAGAGUAUACUACUGUUGGCAAUUUAGCAAUAACUCUUCAGUCCAUAGGAAAAGCUGAUAUUGCGAAAGAACUACAUCCUUAAUUAAUAACACCGUUCGGGAGAAGUUCAUAAGAAUUUUUAAUAAAAUUAUCAUCGUAAAUAUUUCGGAUUGUUAGAGUUAAUAAAUAUAUUAUUGU
Centruroides sculpturatus (bark scorpion) is the source of this 395-nucleotide long non-coding RNA. RefSeq lists it as uncharacterized. The transcript has 2 exons. The record is from RefSeq and is a predicted model, not a curated record. Lineage: Eukaryota; Metazoa; Arthropoda; Arachnida; Scorpiones; Buthidae.